AAACAUGCAAGUCGAGCGAACUGAUUAGAAGCUUGCUUCUAUGACGUUAGCGGCGGACGGGUGAGUAACACGUGGGCAACCUGCCUGUAAGACUGGGAUAACUUCGGGAAACCGAAGCUAAUACCGGAUAGGAUCUUCUCCUUCAUGGGAGAUGAUUGAAAGAUGGUUUCGGCUAUCACUUACAGAUGGGCCCGCGGUGCAUUAGCUAGUUGGUGAGGUAACGGCUCACCAAGGCAACGAUGCAUAGCCGACCUGAGAGGGUGAUCGGCCACACUGGGACUGAGACACGGCCCAGACUCCUACGGGAGGCAGCAGUAGGGAAUCUUCCGCAAUGGACGAAAGUCUGACGGAGCAACGCCGCGUGAGUGAUGAAGGCUUUCGGGUCGUAAAACUCUGUUGUUAGGGAAGAACAAGUACGAGAGUAACUGCUUGUACCUUGACGGUACCUAACCGGAAAGCCACGGCUAACUACGUGCCAGCAGCCGCGGUAAUACGUAGUGGCAAGCGAUAUCCGGAAAUUAUUGGGCGUAAAACGGCGC
RNAcentral lists this ribosomal RNA (539 nucleotides) under Priestia aryabhattai. RNAcentral's name for it is "bacterial SSU rRNA". It matches the Rfam family "Bacterial small subunit ribosomal RNA", at positions 51 to 570 of the family's 1533-position model. The record is from RNAcentral. Lineage: Bacteria; Bacillati; Bacillota; Bacilli; Caryophanales; Bacillaceae.